GCUGGGCAUGGCAGCGCAUGCCUGCAGUCCCAGCUACUUGGGAGGCUGAAGCAGGAGGAUCCCUUGAGCCCAGGAGGUCGAGGCUGCAGUGAGCUAUGAUCACUUCAUUGCACCCUAGCCUGGGUGACACAAUGAGACCCUGUAUCUU
Unclassified non-coding RNA from Macaca fascicularis (crab-eating macaque), 148 nucleotides. It matches the Rfam family "Metazoan signal recognition particle RNA". Rfam says of the family: The signal recognition particle (SRP) is a universally conserved ribonucleoprotein. The record is from Ensembl. NCBI's taxonomy places the organism in Eukaryota, Metazoa, Chordata, Mammalia, Primates, Cercopithecidae.